This 440-nucleotide ribosomal RNA is filed under the name uncultured Sulfurovum sp. RNAcentral's name for it is "bacterial SSU rRNA". It matches the Rfam family "Bacterial small subunit ribosomal RNA", at positions 338 to 795 of the family's 1533-position model. Lineage: Bacteria; Pseudomonadati; Campylobacterota; Epsilonproteobacteria; Campylobacterales; Sulfurovaceae. The record is from RNAcentral.
CCUACGGGCGGCUGCAGUGGGGAAUAUUGCACAAUGGAGGAAACUCUGAUGCAGCAACGCCGCGUGGAGGAUGACGCAUUUCGGUGUGUAAACUCCUUUUAUAUAGGAAGAUAAUGACGGUACUAUAUGAAUAAGCACCGGCUAACUCCGUGCCAGCAGCCGCGGUAAUACGGAGGGUGCAAGCGUUACUCGGAAUCACUGGGCGUAAAGCGCGCGCAGGCGGCUUUGUAAGUUGGAUGUGAAAUCCUAUGGCUCAACCAUAGAACUGCAUCCAAAACUACUUAGCUAGAGUCUGGGAGGGGAAGAUGGAAUUAGUGGUGUAGGGGUAAAAUCCGUAGAGAUCACUAGGAAUACCAAAAGCGAAGGCGAUCUUCUGGAACAGUACUGACGCUGAGGCGCGAAAGCGUGGGGAGCAAACAGGCUUAGAUACCCCGGUAGUC